CUGAUACAAUGAUGAUAACAUAGUUCAGCAGACAACACUGAUGAACAAUCAAGUCUUUCGCUCCUAUCUGAUGUAUCUG
Heterocephalus glaber (naked mole-rat) is the source of this 79-nucleotide small nucleolar RNA. The record is from Ensembl. NCBI's taxonomy places the organism in Eukaryota, Metazoa, Chordata, Mammalia, Rodentia, Bathyergidae.